This 491-nucleotide ribosomal RNA is filed under the name uncultured bacterium. Its description in RNAcentral is "partial 16S ribosomal RNA". It matches the Rfam family "Bacterial small subunit ribosomal RNA", at positions 29 to 507 of the family's 1533-position model. The record is from RNAcentral.
GUGAACGCUGGCGGUAGGCCUAACACCUGCAAGUCGAACGGCAGCACAGUAAGAGCUUGCUCUUACGGGUGGCGAGUGGCGGACGGGUGAGGAAUACAUCGGAAUCUACUUUUUCGUGGGGGAUAACGUAGGGAAACUUACGCUAAUACCGCAUACGACCUACGGGUGAAAGCAGGGGAUCUUCGGACCUUGCGCGAUUGAAUGAGCCGAUGUCGGAUUAGCUAGUUGGCGGGGUAAAGGCCCACCAAGGCGACGAUCCGUAGCUGGUCUGAGAGGAUGAUCAGCCACACUGGAACUGAGACACGGUCCAGACUCCUACGGGAGGCAGCAGUGGGGAAUAUUGGACAAUGAGCGCAAGCCUGAUCCAGCCAUACCGCGUGGGUGAAGAAGGCCUUCGGGUUGUAAAGCCCUUUUGUUGGGAAAGAAAAGCAGCAGGUUAAUACCCCGCUGUUCUGACGGUACCCAAAGAAUAAGCACCGGCUAACUUCGUG